Molecule: long non-coding RNA, 2801 nt
Organism: Phyllostomus hastatus (greater spear-nosed bat)
Lineage: Eukaryota; Metazoa; Chordata; Mammalia; Chiroptera; Phyllostomidae
Exons: 3
Source: RefSeq, a predicted model, not a curated record
GCCCCAUGAUGAAAAGGAUGACCAAGGCUGCUUUAGCUCCUCUAGGACCCAGGUUCUUGCCAAAGAAAUAGAGUUGCUCCUUGACACGUUCUUCUGUGAAAAAGAAAAGUGAGGUGUCAUGCCUCUGCCUUUACCUGGGUCUACGGGAAACCUAGUGCCAUCACCUGGCAUCGCUGGCAGACAGCACUAUACCUGUGUUCCGAAGGACUGUGUAGGUGGUUUCCAUGCCUGCAUGGAUGUGAUCAGAUACGUGACAGUGUAACAGCCAUGUCCCUGGGUGAUCUGCAAAUAGUUCAACAGUUUGGAAGGUCCCAGGAAAGAGAUCGUACACAUCUUCUCGAUUCCUGAUUCUGGGGGAAGCCAACUGCCAUGCCAUACCCACAUGAUGAGGAGCUGAAGCCUCCGGUCAACAGCCCUGCGAGUGAGCUCAAAAGUGGAUUGUCUAGCCCCAGUCAAACCCGAUGACUGCAGGGCCGGCUGACAUCUUAUCACAGCCUCAUGAAAGAUGCUAAGUUGGAACCAACUAGCCAAACUAUUUCCCAAUUACUGACCCAGAGAAACUGUGAUAAUAAGUGUUUAUUGUUUUUAGGACAUUAAGUUUUGGAACCAUUUGUUAGCUAGCAAUAGAUAACUAAUAGAAACCUCUAGACAAACUGACCAAGGAGGGAAAAAAGAAAGACACAAAUUGCAAAUAUCAGGAAUGAAAGAGGGGACAACACUGAGAUCUUAUAGACAUUACAAAGGAUAAUAAAGGGAUGUUAUGAACAACUGUUUAUAAAUUAUAUAACUUAGAUGGUAUGGACAAUUUCUUAAGGUGAAAACUGGUAUCACUAUUCAGGUUAUCUAUUAAAAAAUCUGAAAGUAUAAUAAGACCUUCUAUCAAAUGAGCUCCAUGUCUAUAGGUCUUUAUUGGCAAAUUUUAUCAAACAUUUAGAGAAGAAGUAAUACCAAUUCUAAACAAACUCCCAGAAAAUAGAAGAUGAGAGAACACUUUAAACUCAUAUUAUGAGGACAGGAUUACCCUAAUACCAAAACCAGCCAAAAAACUUACAAAACAAGAAAGCUUCUACCAGUGUUCUUCAUAAACAUAUAUGUAAAAGUGCUUAAAAACACUAGUAGAUUGAGUCCAGAAAUAUAAGAAAAGGAUAUUGCAUUAUGACAAAUUAAAGUUUAUCCUGGGAAUGAAAAUGGGUUCAACAUUUGAAAAUUAGUCAAUGUAAUUUACCUAUAUAAUAAAGAAAGUAAUCAAUAGACUAAAAAUGAAAAAUGUGAUCAUCUCAAUAGAUUCAGAGAAAGCAUUUGACAGGGUUUAACAUCAGUUCAUGAUAAAAAAAAAAACAACUCUCAACAAACUAAGAAUAGAAGGAUCUACAGCCAUCUUUAUAUUCAGUGGUGAAUGACUGACUUGACUGCUUUUCCCCUAACAUUAAAAAUAAGUCAGCCUUGGCUGGUUUGACUCAAUAAAUUGAGCACCGGCCUGUGAACCAAAGGGUUGCAGGUUUGAUUCCCAGUUUGAUUCAAGGCACAUGUCUGGGUUGUGGGCCAGGUCCCCAGUUGGGGGUGCAUGAGAGGCAACCACACACUGAUGUUUCUCUCCCUCACUUCCUCUCUAAAAAUAAAUAAAUAAAAUCUUUAAAAAAAUUUUAAAAAGUAAAAGUUAUCCACCUUCACUAUUCAUAUUCAACAUUAUAGUAGAGCUUCUAGCCAGUGCAAUAAGGCAAGAAAAGAAACAAAAGGUAUACAGAUUGAAAAUAAAUAAGACUGUCUCUAGUCACAGAUAACAUGAUUGUCUAUGUAGGAAACCAUCUCCCCAAAAUCUACAAAUAGCUACUAGAACUAGUUUAGAAAAGUUGCAGGAUACAAGGUGUAUUAUACAAAAGUCAAUUGCAUUUCUACACAUUGGCAAUGAAAAAUUAGAAAUUGAAAUAAAACAAUACCACUUAUACUAUCACCAAAAUCCAAGUAUUAGUGAUAUUCUGAAAAAAAUAUGUGCAAGAUUUGUAUGCUGAAAACUACAUAAGACUGAUGGGAGAAAUCAAAUAAGAUCUAAACAAAUAGAUAUACCACAUUCAUGGAUUGAAAGACUCAGUAUUAAGAUAGCUAUUCUUCCCCAACCAAUGUAUAGAUUUAAUGCAAUACUAAUCAAAAUCCCAGCAGGAUUUUUAAAAUAGAAAUCAGCACAAUAUUUCUUUUUUUAUUUUUCUUUUUCAGUUACAGUUGAAAUUCAAUAUUACUUUAUAUUAAUUUGAAGCUAUCUUUAAAAUUUGUAUGGGAAGGCAAAAAUCUGGAAUAGCUAAAACAAUCAUCACCUGAUUUUAAGACUUACUGUCACGCUAAAGUAGUCAACCAGUGGCAUUCAAGAAAGGACAGAUAUAUACAGUGUCCAGCAGCAGGAAUGCCUGCUUGAGUGUGGUUGGUAGGGCAGAGGGCAAUAUAGGGGAGAAAAAAAAGGGACAACUGUCAUAGCAUAAUCAAUAAAAUAUAUUAAAAAAUAGUGAGAUACCACUACACAUUUAAUGGAAUAGCAAAGAAAAAAUUAAAUAAAAAUGGAAGAUACCAAGUGCUGAUUUGGAUGUGUAAUAAAUGUCAUUAUUAUACAUUUCUGGUGGGAAUGAAAAAUGGUACUGCCUCUGCAGAAAAUAAAGCAGUUUGGCAAUUCCUUGUCAAGUUAAACAUACACUUACCAAAUGACCUAGCAAUCCAAUUCCUUAGUAUUUUCCCAAGGAAAAGGAAAACAUAUAUUCACAAAAAAACAUGUACUUAAAUAUUUAUACUGAUUUUAUUUGUAAUAAUAAAAAAUU